Molecule: long non-coding RNA, 484 nt
Filed under: Lupinus angustifolius (narrow-leaved blue lupine)
Lineage: Eukaryota; Viridiplantae; Streptophyta; Magnoliopsida; Fabales; Fabaceae
Description: long non-coding RNA (LANG_LNC000551)
Source: RNAcentral
AGAUACACUCAUGACUCUCAAUUAGCAACCCAAAAGACCCACAACCAACCAUUAUAAAAGGCAUGUCAUACAGAGAACUAAAAAAGGCAGUAAGUUGAAAAAAAGAGACAGAUAUAUACACAGAGAGAUAUCACAAGUAAUCAAAGAGUAUACUAUUACACAUCACACUCAUAUCACAUCGAGAAUAGAAAAAAGCUAUCACAAAGGCAUAUAUACACAUACAUAUAGAAAACAAAAAAGGAGAAGAUAUAGGCAAUAUAUCCAUCUUCUUAUCAACAAGCAGUUACUAUAAACCGAAUUCAACAACUCUAGUGUCUCCACAAACGAAGUAUAAGUCAAGCCUCAAAGGUAAUGCAUAUGUUACUUAUUAAAGCCCCAAAGAUAAUGCAUAUGUUACUUAUUAAAGCAAAGCAAUUUUAUAUGCUAAACCUAUGUUUUGAAAUGCAUUAAAAAAUUUGUAUUCAUAAAAAUAUAUGUUACCUUA